AUUGAACUCUGGCGGCAGGCCUAACACAUGCAAGUCGAGCGGAUGAAGGGAGCUUGCUCCUGGAUUCAGCGGCGGACGGGUGAGUAAUGCCUAGGAAUCUGCCUGGUAGUGGGGGAUAACGUCCGGAAACGGGCGCUAAUACCGCAUACGUCCUGAGGGAGAAAGUGGGGGAUCUUCGGACCUCACGCUAUCAGAUGAGCCUAGGUCGGAUUAGCUAGUUGGUGGGGUAAAGGCCUACCAAGGUGACGAUCCGUAACUGGUCUGAGAGGAUGAUCAGUCACACUGGAACUGAGACACGGUCCAGACUCCUACGGGAGGCAGCAGUGGGGAAUAUUGGACAAUGGGCGAAAGCCUGAUCCAGCCAUGCCGCGUGUGUGAAGAAGGUCUUCGGAUUGUAAAGCACUUUAAGUUGGGAGGAAGGGCAGUAAGUUAAUACCUUGCUGUUUUGACGUUACCAACAGAAUAAGCACCGGCUAACUUCGUG
Molecule: ribosomal RNA, 484 nt
Filed under: uncultured bacterium
Lineage: Bacteria
Description: partial 16S ribosomal RNA
Rfam family: Bacterial small subunit ribosomal RNA
Source: RNAcentral